This 194-nucleotide small RNA is filed under the name Gemmatimonadota bacterium. Its description in RNAcentral is "Gemmatimonadetes bacterium (soil metagenome) 6S RNA". Lineage: Bacteria; Pseudomonadati; Gemmatimonadota. The record is from RNAcentral.
GGCGAACGACCCCGUCCGAGGCGACCCGGAGAGACUAAUUUUUUGAGCCAACACGCACUCAAAGGGAUCCUCGCUCCGCCUGGCGAUCACACGCCUCUUCGAAGGAAGUGAGACCCGGGUGGGGAGGUUACCCACCGUAUCAAAGAGGGCGUCAAAAAAUCCUCUCCGGCGAGCCACGGCGGGGUCGUUCGCUC